CGCGUAGGCUGUUUGGUAAGUUGGGCGUGAAAUUCCUGGGCUUAACCUGGGGGCUGCGUCCAAGACUGCCUGACUUGAGGAUGGAAGAGGCUCGUGGAAUUCCCAGUGUAGAGGUGAAAUUCGUAGAUAUUGGGAAGAACACCGGUGGCGAAGGCGGCGAGCUGGUCCAUUACUGACGCUGAGGCGCGAUAGCGUGGGGAGCAAACA
Molecule: ribosomal RNA, 207 nt
Filed under: uncultured bacterium
Lineage: Bacteria
Description: partial 16S ribosomal RNA
Rfam family: Bacterial small subunit ribosomal RNA
Source: RNAcentral